This 497-nucleotide ribosomal RNA is filed under the name uncultured bacterium. RNAcentral's name for it is "partial 16S ribosomal RNA". It matches the Rfam family "Bacterial small subunit ribosomal RNA", at positions 29 to 523 of the family's 1533-position model. The record is from RNAcentral.
AUUGAACGCUGGCGGCAUGCCUUACACAUGCAAGUCGAACGGUAACGCGGGGCAACCUGGCGACGAGUGGCGAACGGGUGAGUAAUGCAUCGGAACGUGCCCAGUAGUGGGGGAUAGCUCGGCGAAAGCCGGAUUAAUACCGCAUACGACCUUCGGGUGAAAGGGGGGGAUCGCAAGACCUCUCGCUAUUGGAGCGGCCGAUGUCAGAUUAGGUAGUUGGUGGGGUAAAGCCUACCAGGCCGACGAUCUGUAGCUGGUCUGAGAGGACGACCAGCCACACUGGGACUGAGACACGGCCCAGACUCCUACGGGAGGCAGCAGUGGGGAAUUUUGGACAAUGGGCGCAAGCCUGAUCCAGCCAUGCCGCGUGCGGGAAGAAGGCCUUCGGGUUGUAAACCGCUUUUGUCAGGGAAGAAACGCUUCGAGCUAAUACCUCGGAGUAAUGACGGUACCUGAAGAAUAAGCACCGGCUAACUACGUGCCAGCCGCCGCCGUAA